RNAcentral lists this ribosomal RNA (638 nucleotides) under Salmonella enterica subsp. enterica serovar Typhimurium. Its description in RNAcentral is "partial 23S ribosomal RNA". It matches the Rfam family "Bacterial large subunit ribosomal RNA", at positions 527 to 1165 of the family's 2925-position model. Lineage: Bacteria; Pseudomonadati; Pseudomonadota; Gammaproteobacteria; Enterobacterales; Enterobacteriaceae. The record is from RNAcentral.
CGGCGAGGGGAGUGAAAAAGAACCUGAAACCGUGUACGUACAAGCAGUGGGAGCACCCUUUGGGGUGUGACUGCGUACCUUUUGUAUAAUGGGUCAGCGACUUAUAUUCUGUAGCAAGGUUAACCGAAUAGGGGAGCCGGAGGGAAACCGAGUCUUAAUUGGGCGUUAAGUUGCAGGGUAUAGACCCGAAACCCGGUGAUCUAGCCAUGGGCAGGUUGAAGGUUGGGUAACACUAACUGGAGGACCGAACCGACUAAUGUUGAAAAAUUAGCGGAUGACCUGUGGCUGGGGGUGAAAGGCCAAUCAAACCGGGAGAUAGCUGGUUCUCCCCGAAAGCUAUUUAGGUAGCGCCUCGUGAAUUCAUCUCCGGGGGUAGAGCACUGUUUCGGCUAGGGGGCCAUCCCGGCUUACCAACCCGAUGCAAACUGCGAAUACCGGAGAAUGUUAUCACGGGAGACACACGGCGGGUGCUAACGUCCGUCGUGAAGAGGGAAACAACCCAGACCGCCAGCUAAGGUCCCAAAGUCAUGGUUAAGUGGGAAACGAUGUGGGAAGGCCCAGACAGCCAGGAUGUUGGCUUAGAAGCAGCCAUCAUUUAAAGAAAGCGUAAUAGCUCACUGGUCGAGUCGGCCUGCGCG